CAGAGAGAUAACGGACAAACACUCAGCGAGAGCUCCGCGGCAAGUGGAAGGGUUCACUGUCCGGGUAAAGGUUUCUCUGUCCUAAAUAAAGUAAUGAGGUAGAAAGUCAAAAAGUUAACCAACCCAACCGGCUAUGGAACAGAUUGGCACGGCUACGGUGAAGAUGGACCAGAAGUUUGAGGAGAUAGAUUCAGAGGGCCGGUGGCAGAAACUCUACUCAGAAAUCAGGAACCAGUCCCACGAGUGUUCCUACAAAGUGGCAAAGUAUCCGGAGAAUCGCAACAGAAACAGAUAUCGGGAUGUCAGUCCAUUCGACCACAGUCGGGUGAAGCUGAAGAACACAGAGAAUGACUACAUCAAUGCAAGUCUGGUAGUGAAUGAGGAAGCCCAGAGGAGUUACAUCCUGACUCAGGGCCCCCUCAGGAACACCUGUGGUCACUUUUGGCUCAUGAUCUGGGAGCAAAAGACCAAAGCAGUCAUCAUGCUCAACAGAGUCAUAGAGAAAGGCUCGGAAAAGUGUGCCCAGUACUGGCCCACAGCAGAGGAAAGGGAGAUGGCCUUCAGAGACACACGCUUCUUGGUCACACUGCUGUCAGAAGACACCAAGUCUUACUACACCACCAGAAGGCUGGAGCUGCAGAACAUUCAAACAGGGGAGAAAAGGGAGCUCUACCACUUUCAUUACACAACGUGGCCCGAUUUUGGUGUCCCCGAGUCCCCGGCUUCCUUCCUAAACUUCCUCUUUAAGGUGCGGGAAUCUGGAGCACUGGGCACAGAUCAAGGACCAGCUGUGGUGCACUGUAGCGCUGGAAUCGGACGCUCAGGGACGUUUUCACUAGUUGACACAUGCCUGGUCCUGAUGGACAAGAGGAAAGACCCCUCAUCAGUAGACAUCAAAAGCAUCCUGCUGAACAUGAGGAAAUACCGAAUGGGCCUGAUUCAGACUCCUGAUCAGCUGCGAUUCUCAUACAUGGCUGUCCUUGAAGGGGCAAAGUUUAUCAUGGGAGACUCAUCUGUACAGAAUCAAUGGCGGGAAUUAUCCAAGGAAGAUCAGGAGCCGCUAUCAGAGUCUCCCCCUGCACCUCAGCCACAGGCCAGGUGUCCGACAGAGCGGCACAAUGGCAGCCAGCAGGAGGACGGAGGGGACUACAGACAGGACGGCAAAGCGCCUGCACAGUCUCCCUGCAAGGAGCAGGAGCUCGAUGGCAGCACAGCACAGUCAGUACACAAACGACGCAGGGAAGACAGCAUCUCCAAAUCGAGCACAGCCAAGACACCCCAAAGCAAGUCCAGGACAAAUGACUCUGAGAGGAAGAGAAAAAGUUUGGGCUGCAUUUGCUGCACAUGACAAGAGCUCGGCUGUCCGGCGGGGGGCGGUGUAUCUUUACCCCCCUCUGAGGCAGCAACGACAACCACGGAGAGCGCGUUUAACGGACGAAGUUUACCCGCAGCUUUAAAAAAAAACAAAAGAAAGAACACCCACUCUUGUACAUGGAGGGCGAAAACCAGCGACUACUAACCACCUCCACCUGCAGCCACAACUCUGGCAGCAAAGCCAACAUCGGCAGGGAACUCCAGCUCUCUCCCAAUCUUCCUCACCUCCAUGUCCUCGGCUAGCUCUCCUUUUCCUUUUCAUUGCUUGUGUGUCUUUUUUUUCCUUGCAUACCGGCCUAUCAUCAUUAGUUAGCCAGAACCGACAUUUCUGAUUCUUCUACCAUCAGGAACACAUCACGUCCACCUCCGGCUCAGCUUUCCGAUCUCUCAUCCUCAUUGUUUACAGUGGACACUUUGACAUUCGUUUAAAGACAAGCACACCAGCGCUUUACCCCUCUGGCCACACCUCAACCUUAAACUGUCAAUGCUGCUUCCGGAGUCAAAAGAUUUGUUUUUUCUUUCUCUCGCUCUCUUUUUGGCAUUAAUAAUAUUAUUUUGCAGCUUUCUCAUUCUUUUACACUCAUUUACAUUCAUGAAAUUCAGACUGAAAACAGGGGCUAUGCAUUGCCAAUUUGUAAUGCUGUUUAUAUGUGUAUUUUUGGAAAAGGGUAAAAAACAUUUUUCAGAGGCAAAAGUAAAAAAUGUUCUAUUUUUUAUAAUAAAUUACUUGAAGUUUUUCAGGUGAUGUGGGGCCGGCUGAAUGAAACACACUGUCUCGCUCACAUGUGAGAAAUUCAGUGACAUGUAAUGUUUCCAUGAUGUACAUAGUGUUCUUCUUUUCUUUUUUUUUCUUUUUUCUUUUUUUUUAAGAGAGAUGUGUACAAAAUGACAUAUUUUUGCUUGUAAAGGAAACCCUGAAUACCAAAAAAAAAAAAAAGGACGAAAGCUUAUGUUACACACCUGGAUACAAUAGAAAGCUGAUUUGAAGCUACUUGUUCUCCUUUUGAAACAAAUUGUCUUAAGUUUGUUUUUGUUUUUUAGAGUGUAAUCUGUAAUUAAAACUGGU
RNA transcript from Pelmatolapia mariae (spotted tilapia), 2440 nucleotides. It is a transcript of the gene named protein tyrosine phosphatase non-receptor type 2b, with no coding region annotated. The record is from RefSeq and is a predicted model, not a curated record. The transcript has 11 exons. NCBI's taxonomy places the organism in Eukaryota, Metazoa, Chordata, Actinopteri, Cichliformes, Cichlidae.